GGUCCGAACCCACGAGCGUUGAAAAGCUCGGGGAUGACUUGUGGGUAGCGGUGAAAUUCCAAUCGAGCCCGGAGAUAGCUGGUUCUCCCCGAAAUAGCUUUAGGGCUAGCCUCAAGGUGAGAGAUACGGAGGUAGAGCACUGAAUGUCCUAGGGGGUAUUGCACCUACCGAAGACUAUCAAACUCCGAAUGCCGUCAUCUUAUACUUGGGAGUCAGACUGUGGGUGAUAAGAUUCAUAGUCGAAAGGGCAACAGCCCAGAUCGUCAGCUAAGGUCCCUAAAUGUAAGUUAAGUGGUAAAGGAUGUGGGAUUGCACAGACAACCAGGAUGUUGGCUUAGAAGCAGCCACUCAUUCAAAGAGUGCGUAAUAGCUCACUGGUCGAGUGAUCCUGCGCCGAAGAUUUCCGGGGCUAAAACUUACUACCGAAGCUACGGCAUCAGUAAUGAUGGGUAGGGGAGCUUCCCAUACGGGUUGAAGCAUGACCGUAAGGACAUGUGGACAGUAUGGGAGUGAGAAUGUUGGCAUGAGUAGCGAGAUGUGGGUGAGAAUCCCACAGGCCGUAAACCCAAGGUUUCCAGGGGAAGGUUCGUCCGCCCUGGGUUAGUCGGGACCUAAGCUGAGGCCGAAAGGCGUAGGUGAUGGACAACAGGUUGAUAUUCCUGUACUACCGAUAACCGUUUGAGAGAAGGGAUGACACAGUAGGAUAAGCUAAGCACACUGUUGGUUAUGUGUGCCCAAGCAUUGAGGCAGUCAAAGUAGGCAAAUCCGCUUUGAUAAUGCUGGGAUGUGAUGGGGAGCGAAAUUUAGUAGCGAAGUAGCUGAUUUCACACUGUCAAGAAAAGUCUCUAUCGAGGUUAAAGGUACCCGUACCGCAAACCGACACAGGUGGGUGAGGAGAGUAUCCUAAGGCCAGCGAGAGAACUGUUGUUAAGGAACUCGGCAAAAUGACCCCGUAACUUAGGGAUAAGGGGUGCCACCAUCAGGUGGCCGCAGAGAAUAGGCCCAAGCGACUGUUUACCAAAAACAUAGGUUUCUGCUAAGUCGCAAGACGAUGUAUAGGAGCUGACGCCUGCCCGGUGCUGGAAGGUUAAGGGGAUCUGUUAGAGUAAUCGAAGCAGUGAACUUAAGCCCCAGUAAACGGCGGCCGUAACUAUAACGGUCCUAAGGUAGCGAAAUUCCUUGUCGGGUAAGUUCCGACCCGCACGAAAGGCGUAACGAUUUGGGCACUGUCUCAACAACAGACUCGGUGAAAUUGUAAUUCCGGUGAAGAUGCCGGAUACCUGCGACAGGACGGAAAGACCCCAUGGAGCUUUACUGUAGCUUGACAUUGGGUC
Molecule: ribosomal RNA, 1334 nt
Filed under: Clostridioides difficile
Lineage: Bacteria; Bacillati; Bacillota; Clostridia; Peptostreptococcales; Peptostreptococcaceae
Description: bacterial LSU rRNA
Rfam family: Bacterial large subunit ribosomal RNA
Source: RNAcentral